GAUGAACGCUGGCGGCGUGCCUAAUACAUGCAAGUCGAGCGAACGGACGAGAAGCUUGCUUCUCUGAUGUUAGCGGCGGACGGGUGAGUAACACGUGGAUAACCUACCUAUAAGACUGGGAUAACUUCGGGAAACCGGAGCUAAUACCGGAUGAUAUUUUGAACCGCUUGGUUCAAAAGUGAAAGACGGUCUUGCUGUCACUUAUAGAUGGAUCCGCGCUGCAUUAGCUAGUUGGUAAGGUAACGGCUUACCAAGGCAACGAUGCAUAGCCGACCUGAGAGGGUGAUCGGCCACACUGGAACUGAGACACGGUCCAGACUCCUACGGGAGGCAGCAGUAGGGAAUCUUCCGCAAUGGGCGAAAGCCUGACGGAGCAACGCCGCGUGAGUGAUGAAGGUCUUCGGAUCGUAAAACUCUGUUAUUAGGGAAGAACAUAUGUGUAAGUAACUGUGCACAUCUUGACGGUACCUAAUCAGAAAGCCACGGCUAACUACGUG
Molecule: ribosomal RNA, 497 nt
Filed under: uncultured bacterium
Lineage: Bacteria
Description: partial 16S ribosomal RNA
Rfam family: Bacterial small subunit ribosomal RNA
Source: RNAcentral